Molecule: ribosomal RNA, 392 nt
Filed under: uncultured bacterium
Lineage: Bacteria
Description: bacterial SSU rRNA
Rfam family: Bacterial small subunit ribosomal RNA
Source: RNAcentral
UGGGGAAUAUUGCACAAUGGGCGCAAGCCUGAUGCAGCAACGCCGCGUGGGGGAUGAAGGCCUUCGGGUUGUAAACCCUUUCAGCAGGGAAGCGGUACCUGCAGAAGAAGCGUCGGCUAACUACGUGCCAGCAGCCGCGGUAAUACGUAGGACGCAAGCGUUGUCCGGAAUUAUUGGGCGUAAAGAGCUCGUAGGCGGUUCGUCACGUCUGCUGUGAAAACCCGAGGCUCAACCUCGGGCCUGCAGUGGGUACGGGCGGACUAGAGUGUGGUAGGGGAGACUGGAAUUCCUGGUGUAGCGGUGGAAUGCGCAGAUAUCAGGAGGAACACCAAUGGCGAAGGCAGGUCUCUGGGCCACAACUGACGCUGAGGAGCGAAAGGUGGGGAGCGAAC